Molecule: small nucleolar RNA, 138 nt
Organism: Humulus lupulus (European hop)
Lineage: Eukaryota; Viridiplantae; Streptophyta; Magnoliopsida; Rosales; Cannabaceae
Product: small nucleolar RNA Z247
Exons: 1
Source: RefSeq, a predicted model, not a curated record
UGAUUUAUGAUGAUGAGUUACUUUUGUAUAUCUUAGCAGGUCUGAGCCAAGACUAUGAUCCCAUUAUGGUAAACAUUACCUCCUCCCGAGACUCUGUUUCUCUCUAGGAAGUUCAUUUCCUACUUCAGAGCCAUGAGA